Dreissena polymorpha is the source of this 5485-nucleotide long non-coding RNA. RefSeq lists it as uncharacterized. The record is from RefSeq and is a predicted model, not a curated record. The transcript is spliced from 3 exons. NCBI's taxonomy places the organism in Eukaryota, Metazoa, Mollusca, Bivalvia, Myida, Dreissenidae.
GGGUGGCGGCGUGCUCGAAAAUGUUAAAGUUCUUAUUUCAUGGUAUAACUUUGGUAUGCUUGGACCUAGAGUCUUCAAACUUGACAUGAAGGUUGGCCAGGAUUAACAGAUGACCACUGGUCAUUUCAAGGUCAUUCAUUUGAAGGUCAAGGUCACUGUGACCUUCAAUAUAAAAAAUGUUAAAGUUGUUAUAACUUUGGUAUGCUUGGACCUAGAGUCUUGAAACUUGACAUGAAGGUUGGCCAUAACUAGUAAGUAACCACUGGUCAUUUCAAGGUCAUUCAUUUGAAGGUCAAGGUCACUGUGACCUUGAAUGUAAAAAUGUUAAAGUUCUUAUUUCAUGGUAUAACUUUGGUAUGCUUGGACCUAGAGUCUUCAAACUUGACAUGAAGGUUGGCCAGGAUUAACAGAUGACCACUGGUCAUUUCAAGGUCAUUCAUUUGAAGGUGAAGGUCACUGUGACCUUCAAUAUAAAAAUGUUAAAGUUGUUAUAACUUUGGUAUGCUUGGACCUAGAGUCUUGAAACUUGACAUGAAGGUUGGCCAGAACUAGUAAGUAACCACUGGACAUUUCAAGGUCAUUCAUUUGAAGGUCAAGGUCACUGUGACCUUGAAUGUAAAAAUGUUAAAGUUGUUAUAACUUUGGUAUGCUUGGACCUAGAGUCUUGAAACUUGACAUGAAGGUUGGCCAGAACUAGUAAGUAACCACUGGACAUUUCAAGGUCAUUCAUUUGAAGGUCAAGGUCACUGUGACCUUGAAUGUAAAAAUGUUAAAGUUCUUAUUUCAUGUUAUAACUUUGGUAUGCUUGUACCUAGAGUCUUCAAACUUGAAAUAAAGAUUGGCCAGUACUAGAAGAUGACCACUGGUCAUUUCAAUGUCAUUCAUUUGAAGGUCAAGGUCACUGUGACCUUAAAUGUUAAAAUGUUAAAAUUGUUAUAACUUUGGUAUGCUUGGACAUAGAGUCUUCAAACUUGACAUGAAGGUUUGCAAGCACACUUAGAUGACCACUGGUCAUUUCAAGGUCAUUCAUUCUAAGGUCAAGGUCACUGUGACCUUGAAUGUAAAAAUGUUAAAGUUUGCUCAUGCCUUGAAAAGUACUUACAUUUCAUUUUGACCUUUGAACAAUAUUUCAGUAAUUUAAGUAUUGCAUUGACAAAAACACGAAAGGUACUUUCCUGUCAUUUAAAUCAAAAAUCCGGCUUCAAUGCGGUCAUCUCCGACCGCGGAACUCUUGUUAUUGUUUAAUUUGAGUUACAAUGCUAUGACGUUAAAUUUUAUUUACACUUGAAUGUAUUAUGAAUAUUGCUGGGCCAAGUGUGAGGUUGAGCGCUCUAUAACCAGGUUUAAACCCCCAAUGCUUUGCAUUGACCGUUCCAAGGCGGUGACCCCAGCUUUAUUCAUAUUUUGUGUUUAUGUUGGUUUGUAUUGUGCUGUAUUGUACUGUUUUGUACUGUCUGGGCAAUCGGUCACUUGCCUUAAAUAAAGGACCAACUAAUUGUUUUUAAUGAAAAUUCAAUACUGCUCCAGCAGCUGGAGUUUCACUUCUUUAUAUUGUACUUAUGCUUUUGUAGGUGAAUUCAUAUGAAUAAUUAUUGACACAUUUAAACAGUAAUGGGUUGUUCAUUUGUUCAAAUGAUUUUCGAUUGUUAUUGUAAAAACGAUAAAAAGGCGGCAGAGAAUUCUUUAUAACAUUUUUUCCUGUUUUGAAUAUUUAAACUAUGCAUUUUCUUUUCAGAUAACGUCUUCUUCAAUGAUUGCUUGCGAGGAUAAAGGCUUUUUUGUGAGUUGGGAUCCUUAUGAUUGUAAAGAGGCUAUUAAUUGAUACCUGAUAUACUACAUGAACAAACCUGAGCGCAUGCAAUACAUUGUAAUUUUACAAAUACAAAUACAAAUACAAAUACACUUGUAUAGCGCAAAAACUAUAAAUAUUCUAUUGCGCUUCACAAAACGUCCUAUAUACACAUAUUUAGAUAUCCUCUAGUGAGCUUACAGGUUACAGCACGCAUCUAAGUGUUAUGGAAACGCUCAAAUAGGUAGGUUUUGAGUUUGCUCUUAAAUGUUGUUUCCGAGUCAGCCGAUUUCAAAUGUCCGGGAAGCAAAUUCCACCAUUUCGGCCCUACCACUGCAAGUGACCUGUCGGCGAUCUUUGUUCUAUGCCUUGGCACACGGAACUUGAUGCCUACUGAUGAUCGCAAGCGUUAGCUGCCUUGUUCAUGUGUAAACAUCGAUUGGAGGUAAAUUGGCGCAGUGCCCUUUACGACCCGGAAAACAAUGACAAGCACAUUGAACAUUAUUCUUGCCUGCACUGGCAGCCAAUGUAAUCGUUUUAGCAAGUCGGAACUACGUUCUUCAUACGAUGCGCAGGUUACUUACCUGGCAGCAUUGUUUUUGAAUUCUUUGUAAUUUGUUCAGCUGAUAUGCCGGAAUGUCAGCAAAAAGUCCAUUACAGAAGUCAAGAUGGGAAUGAAUUAGACCAUGAACAAGAAUUUCAGUGGAUUUUUGUGUCAAAUGUUUCCGGAUACACCGUAAGUUUCUUAACUGGCAAUAGGCGACUUGGCAUUUCUUAAGAAUAUGCCGAUCAAAAUUUAAGGUACUUGACAUAUGCACCCCAAGGUCGCGAACAUUGUCAACACACUUCACCUCACAACCACCAACUAUCACACUAGUAAUGUUUAGCUUUUCUAAUUGUUGUUUUGUCCCAUAAGCUAUAAUUUCAGUUUUUGCAUUGUUCAUUUUGAGCUUGUAUCUAGUCAUCCAGUUAAUGAUAUUUUCAAGACAGUUAUUCAGUUGGUUAAUGAUGUUAAAUUCACUUUGUUGAUUUCCAGCUUUUAUUUUAAAGGCAGCUUUAUGGUCAUCAGCAUAACCGUAGAGGUCAGCUGAAUAGUUUUGAACAACCCUGUUUAGCCCAGCGAUAUACAUUGUGAAGAUAACCGGGCCGGCGCAAGAGCCCUGUGGGACGCCACAGCGUAGUGGCAUGGUGUCAGACGAAGCAAUGCCAAUCUUGACCUUCAUGGUUCUGUCAGUAAGGUAGGAUUCAAUCCACCUGAGUGCAGUGUUGGUAAUACCGAAGUCAUCUUGCAUCAGCUGAAGAGCUGAAGGAAUGUCUAUGGUGUCAAAUGCAGCGCUAAGGUCAAUCAUCACUACAAGUGUCACGAGAUUCAGAUCAAUUGAUUCAAGAAUAUCACCGUACAUCUUCAGCAUCGCUGUUUCAACUCCGUGAUAUCUCCUGUAAGCACUUCAACUUGUCGUUCCAGGACAACGAACCCAGAGUCUUUCAUUCUGUGUCGGAUUAUUUAAGAGUGCUUAUAGAAGAUUGUGCAGUGAGAUCUAAAAACAUUGAAAGUUCAUGGACAGCCGAUGGAAAUGUUCUGAUCAGGUUAACUGAAAACGGUCAAUCAAUCAUCAAACGCAUCAGCUGUGCAUCAGAACUUGAACAGUACAAUAGCAGCUAAUUAUAGAACUUCGAAUCUUUUUUGUUCAGUUUAUUUUCAUUCGAUGCUGACCUCUUUAGCUGCACGAAUAUAACGAAAUCAUAUUUCUUGUGUGCUAUCUACUGAGCGUAUGAUUCUGUUUACUACAAUGGCAUAGCCCGUUUUCCUGUGAAACUAUCUACCUUAAAUCAAAGUAACUCUGAAUAUUUGUUUAAAAGCGCCCUAAGCCGAUAUUGUAAAACAUCAAUGUUAAUCUGGUUAAGCUUAUUAACAAGGUUAAAUAAUUUGUAAAAGUUAUCAAUAACAAAUUCAAUAAAAAAUCUCAAUAAAAUUACAACAUUUACUUUGUCAAAUGUGUAGUAUCUUAUUAUAAGUAAAGCAUAAACAAGUCACUUUCUACUAAAAAAGUAAAAUGACAGUUUUUCUAUCCUAUUUUUGCUUCAUUUAGCGUAUAGCCAAUUCAUAAAAUGUUUGUUUUUUGUUUCUAAAGAAGUAUCUUACUAUGCACAAAAUGACGAAACUAGUCAGCUGACUGAGAUUAUACUAUUUAGGGCCUCAGGCUUCAUUAACUGACUAUAUAUUGUGCUCAAAAUAAAAUGCGUUUAUAUUGCGUGUGCAAAAAUUUACUAUUACAGUGUAUAAUACAACGCUCAACCGUUGUCAAUAUCAUGCCCUUGGGCGCUCGUUUGAGAGUAGAAAUUACAGAUACGGUUUUUAUAACUAUUUUUUGUUGGUGUAAUUGUUGUAGUACUUUAUUGCAUUGUUUGUUUGUACUACUAAAUAACUGUUUUUUGUGAAAUGCUUACACAUUUUGAUAUAUGUUAGUGAACGCUUGUGUGAAUUAUCAUCUCUGUACAGGCAAUUACCAUAACCACUCAAAAUCCCUUCUUAUUGUAGCUUUGACGGCUCGUUCUUUUUUAUACUGACUUGACUUUAUCUUUUGCUCCUAGGCUAUUAUAAUUUACUCUUUAUACACCCAACAUAACCUCACGUAUCAUAAUAAUGAUACCAAAAAUAUCAUCAUCCAUUACCAUUUGCUUCUUUUCCCUUCCAUCUUCCAAUCUCUCUGAUAUCUUUUUCUUCAAUGUGCAGCAGUUCUGUAUCAAACAACGAACACAAAUCGUAACAACGUAUCCGUCGCAAUGUGUCCUCGUCGCUAAUCGCAACACGCGUAUCAUGACAGCGUUUCUGGCCAAUCUUGUAUUUAUUAGAGGUUAUUAUUAUGUUGUACAUUAAACAGAGACCAGUAAACGCUGUCAUGGUUGCGUAUAGAUCACCAGCUAUCUUUCCAUUUUUCCUGAACUUAUUAUAUGUAUGUCAAUUUUGGCUUUCUCAUUACAAAUUUAUGUAUACACGUCUAUGAACACAGCACUGAGAAUUGUACAUCCAAGCAAACGUGUUCUGAUAGGAAAAAACAUACAUAGGAUAUUAUUUUCCUCAAAAAGGUUCUAACAUGUUUCUGUGUGCUGCAACAUGUUGUUGGAUCUCAAUAGUCUUAUUGCGAUCAGGUGAUAUUCAUCCUAACCCUGGGCCAACUUUGUCUGAUCUAUCUUCUAACACAGAUGCAAGCAGUUCUUUUUCCUUUUUAAAUUUGUCGGCAACAAACCACAUCCGUUUUGUACAUUACAAUAUUCAAAUUUUGGUGCAUAAAAUUGAUGUUCUUCACACAGGACUACGAGAAUUUGACAUAAUUUGUUUUACCGAAACAUGGUUAAAUAGUUCUAUUCUAUCUGCUGAUCUCCUCUUUGACUGUUUCAACAAACCAAUUCGCCAGGAUCGCGCAUUCGAUUCACACGGUGGCAUUGCUAUAUACGUAAAUGAAAGUAUUGUCUUAAAACGCAGACAAGAUUCUUGAACUGAAUAAUAUUGAAUGUAUUUGGAUUGAAGUUUUUCCCUCAAAAUAUAAAUCCAUUUAGUUUGACGUGUUUUAUAGACCGCCUAGUGCGGAUAGAUCAUAUAUGAUUUAUAUUGAAGAGUCUAUAGGGCUAGCCAGAGACACGCGAAUAAAUGAUAUUAUUAUAACAUGUGAUUUUAACAUAAAUGCUCUAGCUGAA